RNAcentral lists this ribosomal RNA (242 nucleotides) under uncultured bacterium. RNAcentral's name for it is "partial 16S ribosomal RNA". It matches the Rfam family "Bacterial small subunit ribosomal RNA", at positions 64 to 334 of the family's 1533-position model. The record is from RNAcentral.
GAACGCCCUUUUCGGAGGGAGUGGCAGACGGGUGAGUAACGCGUGGGAAUCUACCCAUCACUAGGGAAUAACUCAGGGAAACUUGUGCUAAUACCCUAUACGACCGAAAGGUGAAAGAUUUAUCGGUGAUGGAUGAGCCCGCGUUGGAUUAGCUAGUUGGUGGGGUAAAGGCCCACCAAGGCGACGAUCCAUAGCUGGUCUGAGAGGAUGAUCAGCCACACUGGGACUGAGACACGGCCCAG